UACGAAGGGGGGCUAGCGUUGCUCGGAAUUACUGGGCGUAAAGCGCACGUAGGCGGUCUUUUUAGGUCGGGGGUGAAAUCCUGGAGCUCAACUCCAGAACUGCCUUCGAUACUGGCGAUCUCGAGUCCGGAAGAGGUGAGUGGAACUCCUAGUGUAGAGGUGGAAUUCGUAGAUAUUAGGAAGAACACCAGUGGCGAAGGCGGCUCACUGGUCCGGUACUGACGCUGAGGUGCGAAAGCGUGGGGAGCAAACAGG
This 255-nucleotide ribosomal RNA is filed under the name uncultured bacterium. Its description in RNAcentral is "partial 16S ribosomal RNA". It matches the Rfam family "Bacterial small subunit ribosomal RNA", at positions 524 to 776 of the family's 1533-position model. The record is from RNAcentral.